This 851-nucleotide ribosomal RNA is filed under the name Hypotrachyna intercalanda. RNAcentral's name for it is "eukaryotic LSU rRNA". It matches the Rfam family "Eukaryotic large subunit ribosomal RNA", at positions 71 to 936 of the family's 3401-position model. Lineage: Eukaryota; Fungi; Ascomycota; Lecanoromycetes; Lecanorales; Parmeliaceae. The record is from RNAcentral.
GGGAUUGCCUCAGUAACGGCGAGUGAAGCGGCAACAGCUCAAAUUUGAAAUCUGGCCCCUCCGGGGUCCGAGUUGUAAUUUGUAGAGAGUGUUUCGGGUGAGACCACGGUCUAAGUCUGUUGGAACAUUACGUCAUAGAGGGUGAGAACCCCGUAUGCGACCGUGGCUCGAGCCCAUGUGAAGCCUCUUCGACGAGUCGAGUUGUUUGGGAAUGCAGCUCAAAAUGGGUGGUAAAUUUCAUCUAAAGCUAAAUACUGGCUGGAGACCGAUAGCGCACAAGUAGAGUGAUCGAAAGAUGAAAAGCACUUUGGAAAGAGAGUCAAACAGUACGUGAAAUUGUUGAAAGGGAAGCGCUGGCAACCAGACCUGUCCGUAGGCGAUCAGCCGCUGUUCUCAGCGGUGCACUCGUUCUGCGAUCAGGCCAGCAUCGGUUUCGGCGGUCGGAUAAAGGCCCGGGGAACGUAGCUCUCUUUCGGGGGAGUGUUAUAGCCCCGGGCGCAAUGCGGCCAGCCGGGACCGAGGACCGCGCAUUUAUGCUAGGAUGCUGGCGUAAUGGUUGUCAGCGACCCGUCUUGAAACACGGACCAAGGAGUCUAACAUCUAUGCGAGUGUUUGGGUGUCAAACCCAUGCGCGGAAUGAAAGUGAACGGAGGUGAGAACCCUUUAGGGCGCAUCAUCGACCGAUCCAGAAGUUUACGGAUGGAUUUGAGUAUGAGCAUAGCUGUUGGGACCCGAAAGAUGGUGAACUAUGCCUGAAUAGGGUGAAGCCAGAGGAAACUCUGGUGGAGGCUCGCAGCGGUUCUGACGUGCAAAUCGAUCGUCAAAUUUGGGUAUAGGGGCGAAAGACUAUC